UAGGGAAUAUUGGUCAAUGGGCGCAAGCCUGAACCAGCCAUGCCGCGUGCAGGAUGAAGGCCCUCUGGGUUGUAAACUGCUUUUAUAUGGGAAUAAAAAAACCCUUGCGAGGGUUCUUGAAGGUACCAUAAGAAUAAGCACCGGCUAACUCCGUGCCAGCAGCCGCGGUAAUACGGAGGGUGCAAGCGUUAUCCGGAUUUACUGGGUUUAAAGGGUGCGUAGGCGGCCUUUUAAGUCAGUGGUGAAAGCCUAGUGCUUAACACUAGAACUGCCAUUGAAACUGAAAGGCUUGAGUCAAGGAGAGGUAAGCAGAAUUUAUGGUGUAGCAGUGAAAUGCUUAGAUACCAUAAGGAAUACCAAUAGCGUAGGCAGCUUACUGGCCUUGUACUGACGCUGAGGCACGAAAGCGUGGGGAGCAAACAGG
RNAcentral lists this ribosomal RNA (424 nucleotides) under uncultured bacterium. RNAcentral describes it as "bacterial SSU rRNA". It matches the Rfam family "Bacterial small subunit ribosomal RNA", at positions 355 to 776 of the family's 1533-position model. The record is from RNAcentral.